UAUACAUGACUCUGCGCAUAUCAAUAAGCGGAGGAAAAGAAAACUAACAAGGAUUCCCCUUAGUAACGGCGAGUGAAGCGGGAAGAGCUCAAAUUUGAAAUCUUAAAGGGUUUUCCCUUUACGAAUUGUAGUUUAAAGAAGUGUUUUUCUGUUGAGGUUUUUGGUAAAAGUUCUUUGGAAUAGGGACAUCAUAGAGGGUGAGAAUCCCGUAUUUGGACCUUUACUUUCAACUUUCGUGAUACACUUUCAAAGAGUCGGAUUGUUUGGGGAAUGCAGUCCCAAAAUGGGUGGUAAAUUUUCAUCUAAAGCUAAAUAUUGGCGAGAGGACCGAUAGCGAAACAAGUACCGUGAGGGAAAGAUGAAAAAGAACUUUGAAAAGAGAGUUAAAACAGUACGUGAAAUUGUCAAAAGGGAAGCGUUUUGACACCAGUGUUGUUUUUUCUGAAAAAUCAAUUAAAGAAACUGUUUUAUGCUAAGCUUGUUUAGACUUUAUCAGCUAAUCUGUUUUAGUUUUUGAGCUUUUUCUUUAAUGCACUUUUUCAGUUAACAAGUCAACAUCAAUUUCUUUUGCUGUAAAAAAAGCUUGAGGAAGGUGGCUUGAGAUUCGUCCUUAAGUGUUUAUAGCCUCUUGCCUAUGCAGUCGGAGAGAUUGAGGUCUGCAGCGUAGAUCCUUCGGGGCUAAAUGCAUUUGUGCUAAGUUAUAGCAUUUUAUAGACAACUUGUUGACUAUGAUUUGUCUUGUAGCUUACUCGCUUAUGUUAUUUUACCUACGCUUAGGAUGUUGACAGCAGUAUAGACUGU
RNAcentral lists this ribosomal RNA (801 nucleotides) under uncultured Neocallimastigales. RNAcentral's name for it is "partial large subunit ribosomal RNA". It matches the Rfam family "Eukaryotic large subunit ribosomal RNA", at positions 22 to 633 of the family's 3401-position model. The record is from RNAcentral. Lineage: Eukaryota; Fungi; Neocallimastigomycota; Neocallimastigomycetes; Neocallimastigales.